GUGCUUAGGCUCAUUUUAAAGCUAUUUUUUCACCGCUUCACAACAGCUAUCAUCAUGAAUUUUACAAAAUUGCUCAUCACAUUGUAAAAACUAGAAGCUGUAACAAAAAAGUUGCAAAAAUUGCAGUACUCUUUGUGAUAAAAUGUUUUCAAAUUUUUCAUGAGGUGCCCAAACUGCAUGCGCAGAAUGUGUGAUGACCAUCGGGCACCUGUAUGCAUUGAAUGCAAGGGUUUUGCCGGAAUGAAGUGUAUGGUGAUAAUCCAAAUUCCUACGCCUACGACGGAAACCGUGUUAAAAAAUGGAACGUGACUACAGAAAAAUACGGCGAACCUUGGCUGUCAGGCGAUGUAAUUGGAUGCGCUCUCGACAUGGACGAGGGAACGAUAGAUUUUUAUAUAAACGGAAGGCCUGUAGGUCGAGCUUUCAAAAAUGUGUAUGUGGGUUCCGAAACUGCCUAUUCUCCAACUGUCAUCAAUUUAACCGCAUCAAUUUCGGAUCUACUCCUUUACAUUAUCUAGUCCAAGGUGAACAGAUUCUUCAAGCAACUCCACAGGAACAUCUCGACAAAGCUGCUCUUUUAUACAAGUGUUUUCCGAGUAUCAUAGAACAGAUUCGCCACGUUAAGAAAUCUGGAAGAAAAACCUUACAGGGGACAAAGCUAUAAGCAUUCGAGCUUUUUUCGUCGUCUAGUCAGAUCAAUUGUUGAAAAUAUUAGACCACUUCUCAGGUUAGAGGCCGUUCAUUCCUAUGUUACAAAAAUUUCUUCAGAAAAAUUUCAAAAGAUUUCAAAUAAUAAAAAAAUAUAUUUUUAAAAGAUUUCAUAACAAUUUCUAUAUAUUUCUAAUGAUAUAAC
This is a long non-coding RNA of Belonocnema kinseyi, 853 nucleotides long. RefSeq lists it as uncharacterized. The record is from RefSeq and is a predicted model, not a curated record. NCBI's taxonomy places the organism in Eukaryota, Metazoa, Arthropoda, Insecta, Hymenoptera, Cynipidae. The transcript is spliced from 3 exons.